GAUGAACGCUGGCGGCGUGCCUAAUACAUGCAAGUCGAGCGAACAGACGAGGAGCUUGCUCCUCUGACGUUAGCGGCGGACGUGUGAGUAACACGUGGAUAACCUACCUAUAAGACUGGGAUAACUUCGGGAAACCGGAGCUAAUACCGGAUAAUAUAUUGAACCGCAUGGUUCAAUAGUGAAAGAUGGUUUUGAUGUCACUUAUAGAUGGAUCCGCGCCGCAUUAGCUAGUUGGUAAGGUAACGGCUUACCAAGGCGACGAUGCGUAGCCGACCUGAGAGGGUGAUCGACCACACUGGAACUGAGACACGGUCCAGACUCCUACGGGAGGCAGCAGUAGGGAAUCUUCCGCAAUGGGCGAAAGCCUGACGGAGCAACGCCGCGUGAGUGAUGAAGGUCUUCGGAUCGUAAAACUCUGUUAUUAGGGAAGAACAAAUGUGUAAGUAACUAUGCACGUCUUGACGGUACCUAAUCAGAAAGCCACGGCUAACUACGUG
Molecule: ribosomal RNA, 497 nt
Filed under: uncultured bacterium
Lineage: Bacteria
Description: partial 16S ribosomal RNA
Rfam family: Bacterial small subunit ribosomal RNA
Source: RNAcentral